RNAcentral lists this ribosomal RNA (433 nucleotides) under uncultured bacterium. RNAcentral's name for it is "partial 16S ribosomal RNA". It matches the Rfam family "Bacterial small subunit ribosomal RNA", at positions 29 to 507 of the family's 1533-position model. The record is from RNAcentral.
AACGAACGCUGGCGGCAUGCCUAACACAUGCAAGUCGAACGAGACCUUCGGGUCUAGUGGCGCACGGGUGCGUAACGCGUGGGAACCUGCCCUUAGGUUCGGAAUAACUCCCCGAAAGGGGUGCUAAUACCGGAUAAUGUCUUCGGACCAAAGAUUUAUCGGCUUUGGAUGGGCGCGCGUUGGAUUAGCUAGUUGGUAGGGUAAAAGCCUACCAAGGCGACGAUCCAUAGCUGGUCUGAGAGGAUGAUCAGCCACACUGGGGCUGAGACACGGCCCAGAAUCCUACGGAAGGCAGCAGUGGGGAAUAUUGGACGAUGGGCGAGAGCCUGAUCCAGCAAUGCCGCGUGAGUGAUGAAGGCCUGAGGGUUGUGAAGCUCUUUUACCCGGGAUGAUAGUGACGGUACCGGGAGAAUAAGCUCCGGCUAACUCCGUG